Molecule: transfer RNA, 62 nt
Filed under: Takydromus sylvaticus
Lineage: Eukaryota; Metazoa; Chordata; Lepidosauria; Squamata; Lacertidae
Description: tRNA-Cys
Source: RNAcentral
AGUCCUGUGGUAUUUACGCCAAAAUGCAAAUUUGGAGACGCACCCCUAAAGUGCCGGGACUU